This 253-nucleotide ribosomal RNA is filed under the name uncultured bacterium. RNAcentral's name for it is "partial 16S ribosomal RNA". It matches the Rfam family "Bacterial small subunit ribosomal RNA", at positions 524 to 776 of the family's 1533-position model. The record is from RNAcentral.
UACGGAGGGUGCAAGCAUUAAUCGGAUUUAUUGGGCGUAAAGGGCGCGUAGGCGGAAAGAUAAGUCAGAUGUGAAAUCCCGGGGCUCAACCCCGGAACAGCAUUUGAUACUGUUUUUCUUGAGGGUAGGCGGAGAAAAUGGAAUUCCACAAGUAGCGGUGAAAUGCGUAGAUAUGUGGAAGAACACCAGUGGCGAAGGCGAUUUUCUAGCUUAUUCCUGACGCUGAGGCGCGAAAGCAAGGGGAGCAAACAGG